GAUGAACGCUGGCGGCGUGCUUAACACAUGCAAGUCGAACGGGAUCCAUCAGGCUUUGCUUGGUGGUGAGAGUGGCGAACGGGUGAGUAAUGCGUGACCGACCUGCCCCAUACACCGGAAUAGCUCCUGGAAACGGGUGGUAAUGCCGGAUGCUCCAGUUGAUCGCAUGGUCUUCUGGGAAAGCUUUCGCGGUAUGGGAUGGGGUCGCGUCCUAUCAGCUUGACGGCGGGGUAACGGCCCACCGUGGCUUCGACGGGUAGCCGGCCUGAGAGGGCGACCGGCCACAUUGGGACUGAGAUACGGCCCAGACUCCUACGGGAGGCAGCAGUGGGGAAUAUUGCACAAUGGGCGCAAGCCUGAUGCAGCGACGCCGCGUGCGGGAUGACGGCCUUCGGGUUGUAAACCGCUUUUGAUCGGGAGCAAGCCUUCGGGUGAGUGUAC
This 441-nucleotide ribosomal RNA is filed under the name uncultured bacterium. Its description in RNAcentral is "bacterial SSU rRNA". It matches the Rfam family "Bacterial small subunit ribosomal RNA", at positions 28 to 478 of the family's 1533-position model. The record is from RNAcentral.